GAAAACAUCUUUUAAGGAACCCUAAUACAAAGAUCAUGUUCUGAUCCUAUGAAAAUAUCUUUUAAAGAACCCUAAUACAAAGAUCAUGUUCUAAUCCUAUGAAAACAUCUUUUAAAGAACCCUAAUACAAAGAUCAUGUUCUAAUCCUAAUACGAAGAGCCUUUCAUCAGAUUCCUAAUUAUUUAACAAUCGAUUUCGGAACUCAUAAAGAAAAAUCAAAGCUUUACGAACAACUUACCGUACAAGAGAAGAAACGUUGAGAUUUGAUGGCAGACGUAACUCCAGAAUCACCGGAAGACUCUGUUUAUGUUACCAUCUCUA
This 321-nucleotide long non-coding RNA is filed under the name Capsella rubella. Its description in RNAcentral is "long non-coding RNA (CRUB_LNC002289)". The record is from RNAcentral. Lineage: Eukaryota; Viridiplantae; Streptophyta; Magnoliopsida; Brassicales; Brassicaceae.